GGCAAGGUGGCCGAGCGGUCUAAGGCGUCAGGUUAAGGUCAUACCUUGAUAUUCAGCUUUACUUGAAAGCUUCCUGAUCAUCGUAAGAUGGCGUGGGUUCAAAUCCCACCCUUGUCA
Molecule: transfer RNA, 117 nt
Filed under: Aspergillus carbonarius ITEM 5010
Lineage: Eukaryota; Fungi; Ascomycota; Eurotiomycetes; Eurotiales; Aspergillaceae
Rfam family: tRNA
About the family: Transfer RNA (tRNA) molecules are approximately 80 nucleotides in length. Their secondary structure includes four short double-helical elements and three loops (D, anti-codon, and T loops). Further hydrogen bonds mediate the characteristic L-shaped molecular structure. tRNAs have two regions of fundamental functional importance: the anti-codon, which is responsible for specific mRNA codon recognition, and the 3' end, to which the tRNAs corresponding amino acid is attached (by aminoacyl-tRNA synthetases). tRNAs cope with the degeneracy of the genetic code in two manners: having more than one tRNA (with a specific anti-codon) for a particular amino acid; and 'wobble' base-pairing, i.e. permitting non-standard base-pairing at the 3rd anti-codon position.
Source: Rfam by way of RNAcentral